UACCUUAUAGUUUAAUGGUAAAGCAGUUAUCUUCGAAAUAAAAGAAUAAAGGUUCGAGUCCUUUUUAGGUAA
Molecule: transfer RNA, 72 nt
Filed under: Crella elegans
Lineage: Eukaryota; Metazoa; Porifera; Demospongiae; Poecilosclerida; Crellidae
Description: tRNA-Arg
Rfam family: tRNA
About the family: Transfer RNA (tRNA) molecules are approximately 80 nucleotides in length. Their secondary structure includes four short double-helical elements and three loops (D, anti-codon, and T loops). Further hydrogen bonds mediate the characteristic L-shaped molecular structure. tRNAs have two regions of fundamental functional importance: the anti-codon, which is responsible for specific mRNA codon recognition, and the 3' end, to which the tRNAs corresponding amino acid is attached (by aminoacyl-tRNA synthetases). tRNAs cope with the degeneracy of the genetic code in two manners: having more than one tRNA (with a specific anti-codon) for a particular amino acid; and 'wobble' base-pairing, i.e. permitting non-standard base-pairing at the 3rd anti-codon position.
Source: RNAcentral